GUCGUUCCUUGCUAUCACGUGACUGUCAUGUGAUCGUCGUGCAAGAGAUUGGCAAUGGAUCCGACGAUGGCCACCCUCCGACGAUGAGCGGAAAGUGUUGAAUGAUUGUGAAUUAAGAGGAAGGCAGUUCACGAUGAUGAAUGAAGUGCCGUAAAACAGUUAUGCGUUGAUGGAAAGCUGUAAACUUGACUGUUGCUGAUUAGAGCGUUGAUGUCGUGACACAAUUCCGUUACCACUGGGGUUGACUGCUAGGGAUUUUGCCAAUUGGCGUUUCAUGUAGAAUUUCAAAGUAUGGCUGCUAGCACAAACAUUUUCAGUGAAAAGGAGACCAAUAACUGGUUUAAGGCAUGCCUUGCUCUCAACUGUACGAAGGAAGGGCUUACCAACUUCAUUGAAACAGAAUUACAGAGGGUCCUCGCAGCGGUUGGUGGAAGUUGUGGGAACUGUUCAAUUGAAAACCUGAUGUCAUGUCCUACUCCGGGUUUGUGCAACAGCAAAGCAAAAAAAAAAUGUAUGUUUCACAAAGCAAAAGUGUUCCAGCAAUGCAAAAUAUGCGAUCAAGUUAAACAAAAAAUCAUAUCGUUCCAUAGAUUUUACAAGCCAUCGUGGCGAAAUACAAAAGCAGAAAGAUGGGCGACCGAACCGUGGGAAAUCGGAAAAUGUUACUUACCUCCGGGAGGAUACAAAGGUGUCUCCGUGGUGCAGGAAUCGGACUUAAAUGGCAUACUCAGUUUGAUGUUGAACUGCACACACUUCGAAACGUGUCUCUCUGCUAGCCUAACUCCUAAACCGCCUGAUCCACAGUGCCCUUUAGAAAAGGUCCGUCAGAUAGGCCGAGACGUACGACACACAGCCGACUGCAAGGUAAACGAUGCUGAUCUGCAAUACUAUUUUCAAACACUGGCAACGCUACUGGCCGAUCCAAAGUGCUUAGUGCAUGAUCCUUUGGCAAUAACAGCGCGCACAAAAUUAAGUCAGUUGCAGAAUGAUCGUUUGUCACUAUUCGAACUGGGCGAGCUGUUGAAAGAUGCCAGUCAAACCCUCAAACAAGCGAAAGCGGCCGGGGAACACUUUUCAAAAGUUGCGGAAAUUACUCUCCAGGAAGCUUUGCAAUCAAUAGAGGCAUCUUUACAGGCUGGUAAACAACAAAUUGAAGCAGUGAUUUCUGAUUCAAAAAAACAAUUAGAUAUACACACACAAGACAGUGUAAGGAAAAUAUCAGAAGAAACUCGAGUUGGUAUUGAGCGCAUUCAACAAGUAGAAAUCAACCAAGCGAUUGACGACUAUGGACGGGAUGUUGAUGAUAUGCUCCGAGGUUUGACGGCGCAUUACGACACAAAACUUAGUUAUGUGACGACCUCGCCUUUGAAUUGCGUUCACGAAAAAUUAAGGGACAUCUAUAUGCCACCCAAGCUGCUGCUGAUGACAAAAGACAAACAGUCCUUUAAAAAAACCGGCAUGCAAAUCAAGAACUACGAAAAUAUGUUUUUAAAGCAUGCCAAAGAGAACCAUAAGACGUUUAUUCAAGGCGAGGCCGGAACGGGCAAAUCCACAUUUCUUGCAAAGUUAGUUAUGGACUGGUGUCGUAUUAAAUUAGAAAAACAAUUGAAAACAAAGAUAGCACAUACUGAUACGCAAACGAAUUACGCCUCUUUCUUCAACGAUUCGUGGUCUCUACACCGUUACAGUUUUGUCUUCCACAUAACGUUAAGAAAUUCGGUAACAGAAAUCUCAAUUUACAACAUGAUCAAGGAACAGAUAAUCGACUCGAUAUACUCGUCUGAAGAAGAUCGCAAAAAGGCCUACACAUUACUGAAUGAGAUAAUGAAACGCGAACUUUGCUUGAUACUACUAGAUGGUUUGGAUGAAUGGACCGGUCCUGGAGGUGGAUACAACCUACCGACGUUGGUAACAUGCCACAGACAAUGCGUCAUCUUGAUUACAACUCGACCUUGGAAAGUGGCUGAAGGAACAUUUAACCACUCAGAGAUGCAUACUUUUCUGCAACUUGAAGGAGUUAACGAUCCUUUCGAGCUUAGUAGAAAUUUGUUGAGUUUAAUGAUUGAUAGGAAGGAGUUGAGCGCUAAACACCUAUUAUUUAAGCGUUAUGUAUCCGAAAAGAAGCUAAACGAUUUACUGUUGUCACCAAUGAUGCUUUCUGUAAUUGUAUGUUCAUAUGCUGAAGGAAUAACACUGAAAGGCUCUAAAUGUGAAAUAUACUGUAUCAUACUGGAAAGUCUUCUAAAGAAGGCAAACAGCAAAAUCAGUGAAUUUCAGCAUCCGCCAUUUCCUUGCUUUACGGGCACGCAAUACAUUCAACCCAAUAUUGAACACCUAAAUCGUCUUGCUGAAGCGGCAUUUCAUUUGCUGUUUUCAAACACAAGGGAAAAUUCGCUUGUGUUUGGUAUAAGCGAAUUAAAGCUAUAUAAGUUAGAAGAAGAACUUGAGACGGCUUUAAAGUCAGGUAUUUUGUCUGCAACUCCAAAAGCAUCGGUAUUACGAUUAUCGUCAUCAUUUUCCUUUAUCCAUAAAAGCUUUCAGGAAUUCCUAGCUGCAUAUCAUAUCGCACGCAAUACCCAAACAAUUAAUGGCAUAAUUUCGGGAUAUCUUAAACGCAGUAACAAUUCCUACCUUGAUGUUACUGAAGUUUUAACUUUUCUGUGCGGGUUAGACAUUUCGGCUGCGAAUACACUCUCUGACAUGAUGGACAAAUGUGACCAGCUUCAUUACUUAAAAUACGAGUUCAAACCCAGCCCCUUUCAGCACUGCGUCCUGUCAGGAUAUAGAGAGGCCAUUGCUAAUGCGAAAACAUGCAUUAACCUAAAACUCAGUCACUUUAACAUCGACGACGAAAACAUUCAUCCAGAUUUGCACUCACUUUGGGUCAUGAAUGCGUCCAGUGUCGAGGUUCUACGUGUAACUGUAUUCUCUCGGGACCCUUUAUUUGAUGGGAAGAGUUCACCUGAAUGUGAGAAGUCUUCAUCUACUAUGGACUUUGAACUGUCAUCGUGUCACAAACUAAAAGUGCUGAAACUCUAUGGAUACGGCGUAUGUUUGAAAGGACACAUGGCUGGAUGAGGCUUCGGGUAUCAAGAAAGACGACAGUUCCUUGGUGGCGGCAGUGGCAAUUCCAAAGACUGCAGUCUCUACAAGCUGGAAUAAGAAGACCCCUGGGUCAAGUGCGUCCAGCCCCAACAUCCGUCUGUUGACCGCCCGUAAUAUCCAAAGGCCGCAAAUCAAGUUCAAGGACAAGGUUUACAACAGGGCUGUUCCAUGGCGACCAAUCAUCAAGGAGAAACCAAAUGCGUUGAAGCCAC
RNA transcript from Dreissena polymorpha, 3317 nucleotides. RefSeq lists it as uncharacterized. NCBI's taxonomy places the organism in Eukaryota, Metazoa, Mollusca, Bivalvia, Myida, Dreissenidae. The record is from RefSeq and is a predicted model, not a curated record. The transcript has 7 exons.